UUAAAAGUAUAUCCCAAUAACAGUGUUAACUAUCCUAAAAACUAACAGAAACCCUAGUGUCACUCUAAAGCCAUUCGCAUGCAGCUUCCGCCUCGUCAGCAAGUUCGUCGCCCAAGAUUUGACACCUUGUCUGCCUCUUUCACCAAAAUGGAAAGGUGUGGCUUCCCAACGCCGUUGACCUUGUCAUGAACACCUACAAAAAAGAAAAAAAAAGAACAGAAACGCAGCACGCAAAGAACGAUAGAAAAGAAAAAUGAAAAAUAGCAGUAUAAUAUAACACAUUCGACUAUAAAAGCCACAACAGCCAUGUACUUUUUUUUGGAUACAGAGAAUCAA
Molecule: long non-coding RNA, 336 nt
Filed under: Gossypium raimondii (Peruvian cotton)
Lineage: Eukaryota; Viridiplantae; Streptophyta; Magnoliopsida; Malvales; Malvaceae
Description: long non-coding RNA (GRAI_LNC004002)
Source: RNAcentral